UACGUAGGGGGCAAGCGUUAUCCGGAUUUACUGGGUGUAAAGGGAGCGUAGACGGUUAUGCAAGUCUGAAGUGAAAGCCCAAGGCUCAACCAUGGGACUGCUUUGGAAACUGUAAAACUGGAGUGCAGGAGAGGUAAGCGGAAUUCCUAGUGUAGCGGUGAAAUGCGUAGAUAUUAGGAGGAACACCAGUGGCGAAGGCGGCUUACUGGACUGUAACUGACGUUGAGGCUCGAAGGCGUGGGGGGCAAACAGG
This 253-nucleotide ribosomal RNA is filed under the name uncultured bacterium. RNAcentral's name for it is "partial 16S ribosomal RNA". It matches the Rfam family "Bacterial small subunit ribosomal RNA", at positions 524 to 776 of the family's 1533-position model. The record is from RNAcentral.